UCUCUUGAGAGCGGCGGACGGGUGAGUAAUGCCUAGGAAUCUGCCUGGUAGUGGGGGAUAACGUUCGGAAACGGACGCUAAUACCGCAUACGUCCUACGGGAGAAAGCAGGGGACCUUCGGGCCUUGCGCUAUCAGAUGAGCCUAGGUCGGAUUAGCUAGUUGGUGGGGUAAUGGCUCACCAAGGCGACGAUCCGUAACUGGUCUGAGAGGAUGAUCAGUCACACUGGAACUGAGACACGGUCCAGACUCCUACGGGAGGCAGCAGUGGGGAAUAUUGGACAAUGGGCGAAAGCCUGAUCCAGCCAUGCCGCGUGUGUGAAGAAGGUCUUCGGAUUGUAAAGCACUUUAAGUUGGGAGGAAGGGUUGUAGAUUAAUACUCUGCAAUUUUGACGUUACCGACAGAAUAAGCACCGGCUAACUCUGUGCCAGCAGCCGCGGUAAUACAGAGGGUGCAAGCGUUAAUCGGAAUUACUGGGCGUAAAGCGCGCGUAGGUGGUUUGUUAAGUUGGAUGUGAAAUCCCCGGGCUCAACCUGGGAACUGCAUUCAAAACUGACUGACUAGAGUAUGGUAGAGGGUGGUGGAAUUUCCUGUGUAGCGGUGAAAUGCGUAGAUAUAGGAAGGAACACCAGUGGCGAAGGCGACCACCUGGACUAAUACUGACACUGAGGUGCGAAAGCGUGGGGAGCAAACAGGAUUAGAUACCCUGGUAGUCCACGCCGUAAACGAUGUCAACUAGCCGUUGGAAGCCUUGAGCUUUUAGUGGCGCAGCUAACGCAUUAAGUUGACCGCCUGGGGGAG
This 800-nucleotide ribosomal RNA is filed under the name Pseudomonas sp. Its description in RNAcentral is "bacterial SSU rRNA". It matches the Rfam family "Bacterial small subunit ribosomal RNA", at positions 85 to 881 of the family's 1533-position model. Lineage: Bacteria; Pseudomonadati; Pseudomonadota; Gammaproteobacteria; Pseudomonadales; Pseudomonadaceae. The record is from RNAcentral.